Molecule: long non-coding RNA, 263 nt
Filed under: Capsella rubella
Lineage: Eukaryota; Viridiplantae; Streptophyta; Magnoliopsida; Brassicales; Brassicaceae
Description: long non-coding RNA (CRUB_LNC002119)
Source: RNAcentral
UAGAGUUUGAAUAUUUUUUAUUAUUUUAAUAUUCUAUACAACUUAAAUAAAAUAUCAUAAUUUUCAGCUUCUAAAAGUUUUAAUAUUUAUCAUAUUUUAAACUUGUUAAAAAAAUUAAAUUUAUAAUAUUCUGAAACUUUUAAAAAAAAAAAUUCUUAAAUAAAGAACCGGAUUAAACUAAGAAAAUUUUCAAUUUGGAUACUUGAUCAAAAUAAAAGUUGGAUACUUGAUCAAUUUGGAUACUUGAUCAAAAUAAAAGUUGC